GACGAACGCUGGCGGCGUGCUUAACACAUGCUAGUCGAACGGAAAGGCCCUGCUUUUGUGGGGUGCUCGAGUGGCGAACGUGUGAGUAACACGUGAGUAACCUGCCCUUGACUUUGGGAUAACUUCAGGAAACUGGGGCUAAUACCGGAUAGGAGCUCCUGCUGCAUGGUGGGGGUUGGAAAGUUUCGGCGGUUGGGGAUGGACUCGCGGCUUAUCAGCUUGUUGGUGGGGUAGUGGCUUACCAAGGCUUUGACGGGUAGCCGGCCUGAGAGGGUGACCGGCCACAUUGGGACUGAGAUACGGCCCAGACUCCUAAGGGAGGCAGCAGUGGGGAAUAUUGCACAAUGGGCGGAAGCCUGAUGCAGCAACGCCGCGUGCGGGAUGACGGCCUUCGGGUUGUAAACCGCUUUCGCCUGUGACGAAGCGUGAGUGACGGUAAUGGGUAAAGAAGCACCGGCUAACUACGUG
This 468-nucleotide ribosomal RNA is filed under the name uncultured bacterium. Its description in RNAcentral is "partial 16S ribosomal RNA". It matches the Rfam family "Bacterial small subunit ribosomal RNA", at positions 28 to 507 of the family's 1533-position model. The record is from RNAcentral.